Molecule: transfer RNA, 88 nt
Filed under: Escherichia coli
Lineage: Bacteria; Pseudomonadati; Pseudomonadota; Gammaproteobacteria; Enterobacterales; Enterobacteriaceae
Also listed under: 2 other names
Description: tRNA-Leu
Rfam family: tRNA (bases 7-77)
About the family: Transfer RNA (tRNA) molecules are approximately 80 nucleotides in length. Their secondary structure includes four short double-helical elements and three loops (D, anti-codon, and T loops).
Source: RNAcentral
GCGAAGGUGGCGGAAUUGGUAGACGCGCUAGCUUCAGGUGUUAGUGUUCUUACGGACGUGGGGGUUCAAGUCCCCCCGCCUCGCACCA